Molecule: ribosomal RNA, 420 nt
Filed under: Triticum aestivum (bread wheat)
Lineage: Eukaryota; Viridiplantae; Streptophyta; Magnoliopsida; Poales; Poaceae
Description: partial small subunit ribosomal RNA
Source: RNAcentral
AUGCUCCUUUUGCGGGGGCGGGAGACAUCACAUCACUUGUUUUUUACUUGUCCUGUUGCUAGGGUGACCUGGAGAACAGUGGCAUGCAUGUUCGGCACUGCAUUGUGUCCUGACAGUAUUUGGCAGGCUUAUGUGUGGUGCUUUACCUUUUUCCCUGGUGGAGAAGAGCUUUACACAGCAGGGAUUGCGGCUGUGUGUUGGGCGAUAUGGUCUUGUCGUAACAGAGCUACUUUCGAAUUCAAACCGCUUAAAACCCCGUUUGAAUGCAUCUUUUCUGCUUGUGCUUUAAUGUGUUACUGGGCAAGGCUGCUGAAGCAAGAAGGCGCGGCGACCAUGAGGGAUGGGGCAAAGAUGCUGAAGGAGAACGCAUCGAUGAUGAUGAGAAUCUGCGCGACAAGUCAAGAGGGAGCGGCGCGCUGA